RNAcentral lists this ribosomal RNA (252 nucleotides) under uncultured bacterium. Its description in RNAcentral is "partial 16S ribosomal RNA". It matches the Rfam family "Bacterial small subunit ribosomal RNA", at positions 524 to 776 of the family's 1533-position model. The record is from RNAcentral.
UACGUAGGUGACAAGCGUUAUCCGGAAUUACUGGGUGUAAAGGGAGCGUAGGCGGGCAAGCAGGUUGGAUGUUUAACCUAUGGGCUCAACCCAUAGUCGCAUUCAAAACCGUUUGUCUUGAGUGAAGUAGAGGCAAGUGGAAUUCCUAGUGUAGCGGUGGAAUGCGUAGAUAUUAGGAGGAACACCAGUGGCGAAGGCGGCUUGCUGGGCUUUAACUGACGCUGAGGCUCGAAAGCGUGGGGAGCAAACAGG